UUGCUCGAGAGACCCAUGAGGACAAUUCUCAAGAUCCAGUGGACGAGAGUUACCUGAACCUGCCACAAGAACUGAGGGAGACCUUUAAGCAGGAGUUUAGGAGGCAAAAAAUUGGUGUCAUGGAGAGAUUUUGGAAUGUUUACUUCAAAGAAAACCCAGUAGAUGGAGUAGAUGACUCCGGAAAUGAAAAACAAAAACAAACAGUAGACAAGGUGACCUGGUGGACGGAACACUGGACAAGAG
Long non-coding RNA from Engraulis encrasicolus (European anchovy), 243 nucleotides. RefSeq lists it as uncharacterized. Lineage: Eukaryota; Metazoa; Chordata; Actinopteri; Clupeiformes; Engraulidae. The record is from RefSeq and is a predicted model, not a curated record. The transcript has 3 exons.